UACGAAGGGGGCUAGCGUUGCUCGGAAUGACUGGGCGUAAAGGGCGCGUAGGCGGCUUAUACAGUCAGGCGUGAAAUUCCUGGGCUCAACCUGGGGACUGCGUCUGAUACGUAUGGGCUUGAGUGUGAAAGAGGGUCGUGGAAUUUCCAGUGUAGAGGUGAAAUUCGUAGAUAUUGGAAAGAACACCGGUGGCGAAGGCGGCGACCUGGUUCAUUACUGACGCUGAGGCGCGAAAGCGUGGGGAGCAAACAGGAUUAGAUACCCUGGUAGUCCACGCUGUAAACGAUGUGUGCUGGAUGUUGGGGUGCUUAGCACUUCAGUGUCGUAGCUAACGCGGUAAGCACACCGCCUGGGGAGUACGGCCGCAAGGUUGAAACUCAA
Molecule: ribosomal RNA, 381 nt
Filed under: uncultured bacterium
Lineage: Bacteria
Description: bacterial SSU rRNA
Rfam family: Bacterial small subunit ribosomal RNA
Source: RNAcentral